RNAcentral lists this long non-coding RNA (405 nucleotides) under Phoenix dactylifera (date palm). RNAcentral's name for it is "long non-coding RNA (PDAC_LNC003780)". Lineage: Eukaryota; Viridiplantae; Streptophyta; Magnoliopsida; Arecales; Arecaceae. The record is from RNAcentral.
ACUCGAGAUCAGGAAGGUCGACUCUUUCUGAAAAUCCUGGAACUCGCGGACGGGCUGAACUCAAGGAAUUCGAUCCGGACGUGGAUUUUCAAUGAAAACUGAUGGGAUUUGGAUCAUGGGAGAUGUGGGAGAAUGGCUUGAUGAUUAUCAAUGGAAUUUCGAAUCAAAAUUGAAUGGAAAAAUCAGCACCAUCUAUUUCGAUCUUAUCUCACUCACAUGAACCAUUUAUUGUUUGAAUUUUGAAUUCAAACAAGAUAGGAUCUAUCUUGUUACAACCAACCCCUUCAUGCGUUAAUAAGAUACCAAAUUUCUAUUUGAAUUUCGAAUUCAAAUGAUCAGAUAGCGUUCCUUUAAAAGGAUGAUCUCCUUGUGUCGCCAACACAAUGAAAUUCAGCCUUGUCCAUC